RNAcentral lists this small nucleolar RNA (140 nucleotides) under Triticum aestivum (bread wheat). RNAcentral's name for it is "Small nucleolar RNA Z247". It matches the Rfam family "Small nucleolar RNA Z247". Rfam says of the family: Z247 is a member of the C/D class of snoRNA which contain the C (UGAUGA) and D (CUGA) box motifs. Most of the members of the box C/D family function in directing site-specific 2'-O-methylation of substrate RNAs. The record is from Rfam by way of RNAcentral. Lineage: Eukaryota; Viridiplantae; Streptophyta; Magnoliopsida; Poales; Poaceae.
CCACUCAACGACGACGAGUUCAUCUCCUACAUCAUGGCCGGCCUCGACAUAGAGUAUCAUCCCCUCGUCUCCACCCUUGACGCCCGCACCCAACCUGUCACCCUUUGACAAACUGUAUGCUCAGAUGAGUAGCUUCGAUC